This 301-nucleotide ribosomal RNA is filed under the name uncultured bacterium. RNAcentral describes it as "partial 16S ribosomal RNA". It matches the Rfam family "Bacterial small subunit ribosomal RNA", at positions 509 to 807 of the family's 1533-position model. The record is from RNAcentral.
CAGUCGCCGCGGUAAUACGUAGGUGGCAAGCGUUGUCCGGAAUUAUUGGGCGUAAAGGGCUCGCAGGCGGUUUCUUAAGUCUGAUGUGAAAGCCCCCGGCUCAACCGGGGAGGGUCAUUGGGAACUGGGAAACUUGAGUGCAGAAGAGGAGAGUGGAAUUCCACGUGUAGCGGUGAAAUGCGUAGAGAUGUGGAGGAACACCAGUGGCGAAGGCGACUCUCUGGUCCGUAACUGACGCUGAGGAGCGAAAGCGUGGGGAGCGAACAGGAUUAGAUACCCCCGUAGUCCCUGUCUCUUAUAC